AUGGGGAAGCAGUGGCUGCGAGUGACAUGCUCCCUGAGGUCACAGGUUCUGAAUCAGAGACUGCAAACAGGGGCUACUCCUUCCUCUCCCAGCUUUCCUGGUGCCCUGCAGGGGCUCACCGAACAAGAUUCCUCUUCUUCCCCAGAGCACGGAACCCCUGAGGAUGGCCAAGCGCGUGGCUUUAGCAGGGGACUUUGCGGGUGCCACUUCACCUGCUGGGUUCCCUCCUGCUCCCUCCACCGGCUGGCAGGGCCCCAUCAGCUUCCUCCUCUCAUUCUUACCUCCUCAAGCCCACUCCCCUCUCCUCUGCUGUCCCCCUCCUCUCCUCUCCCCAGGACAUCUCCUCCGCGUGCUGGUUGGGUUGGUUCCUGGUGCUCGCUCCCCCUGCAAGCACUGGAGACUGUAUGCCCUGUAGCCAGUCCUGCGGCUUCCCCUGGGGUUGCGCGGGGGCGUUGGGGUCUGCACCUGCACUCUGAAUCCAAAGUGCGCAGCAGACAGCAGGGCUCCCAGGCCGCGCCCCGCACUCACCUGCUUCUGCCCUCGUCUCGCCGUCCGGGGCCUGGUCCUGCCUGGAAGUCAGGGGCUGCUUCCUGCGUGGCCAGCAUCACUGCUAUCUUUCUUCUUUCUUCUUUACGGCUGUUUUCUGGUGUGGGUGGAGGACCGGAUGUUCAUACUUUUAAAAAUUUAUUUAUGUAUGUAUUUGAUAGAGAGAGAGAGACUGAGAGGGAGGAGAGAGGGAGAGUGAGAGCGAGAGAGAGAGAGAGAGAGAGAGAGAAGAGAGAGAGAAGAGAUGGAGAGCUUUCCUAUCUACUGGUUGACUCCUGCACCCUGCCCCAAAUACUCACAGCGGCCAGUGCUGGGCGAUGUGGAUCUCAAUCCGGGUCUCCCACCUGGGGGGCAGCAGCCCUCCCCCUUGAGCCACCUCUCCUGCCCGCACAGUCAGAAAGCUGGAGUCGGGAGCCAGCAGUGGGCGUCUCAGCCUCCAGGCCAACUGCCCGGCCCUACGCGUUCAGCACCGGAGCUGAACUGGGAGAGGAUAGCGCGAGGUCUCCCGCGGCCGGAGCCCACACGGCCGGGACGCCGUGUGGAUGCUGUCUGCUGCUCGUUUGCUUGCUCCAGCGGUGGCCGCACCUGUGGCUGUGUGAGGCGGCUGCGUGCUGGAGGCGGAGUCUUGGUUCCUGUCUCAGGUUCCUCGGCUGCCUGCAGGGCUCUUGCCUGCGCUGGGAGAAGGUACCAGGAAGCAAGGGCUUGAUGGCCAGGUCUUGUGAGUCAGGCUGCGCAGCUGUCGACAGAGGACGAACCGUUGGCUCGGCCGGCUGCGCAGUGGACAGGGGUGGACACACCUUCUGGGAAAACGGAUUGGAGUCAGCCUAG
This 1374-nucleotide long non-coding RNA is filed under the name Oryctolagus cuniculus (rabbit). RNAcentral describes it as "lncRNA (ENSOCUG00000038241.1)". The record is from RNAcentral. Lineage: Eukaryota; Metazoa; Chordata; Mammalia; Lagomorpha; Leporidae.